ACGAAGGGGGCUAGCGUUGCUCGGAAUUACUGGGCGUAAAGGGAGCGUAGGCGGAUAGUUUAGUCAGAGGUGAAAGCCCAGGGCUCAACCUUGGAAUUGCCUUUGAUACUGGCUAUCUUGAGUAUGGAAGAGGUAUGUGGAACUCCGAGUGUAGAGGUGAAAUUCGUAGAUAUUCGGAAGAACACCAGUGGCGAAGGCGACAUACUGGUCCAUUACUGACGCUGAGGCUCGAAAGCGUGGGGAGCAAACAG
Molecule: ribosomal RNA, 251 nt
Filed under: uncultured prokaryote
Description: partial 16S rRNA
Rfam family: Bacterial small subunit ribosomal RNA
Source: RNAcentral